GGGGAUAUGGCUCAGUGGUAGAGCACUUGCCUCACAUGUGUGAGGCACUGAGUUCAAUUCUCAGAGUCACAU
Non-coding RNA from Ictidomys tridecemlineatus (thirteen-lined ground squirrel), 72 nucleotides. The record is from Rfam. Lineage: Eukaryota; Metazoa; Chordata; Mammalia; Rodentia; Sciuridae.